This 348-nucleotide unclassified non-coding RNA is filed under the name Hevea brasiliensis (rubber tree). The record is from RNAcentral. Lineage: Eukaryota; Viridiplantae; Streptophyta; Magnoliopsida; Malpighiales; Euphorbiaceae.
AGGUAUUGGUGGUGAUCCUUUCAAUGGUACAAAUUUUGUUGACUGCCUGAAGAAGUUUCUUGUAGAUCCUCAGACUGAAGGUAUCAUUCUUAUUGGUGAAAUAGGAGGCACUGCAGAAGAGGAUGCUGCUGCUCUGAUUAAGGAAAGUGGAACUCAAAAGCCUAUUGUUGCAUUUAUAGCUGGACUAACUGCUCCACCAGGGCGUCGCAUGGGUCAUGCUGGAGCUAUUGUAUCUGGGGGAAAGGGUACUGCCCAAGACAAAAUCAAAACUCUAAAAGCAGCUGGCGUCACAGUGGUGGAAUCUCCAGCAAAGAUUGGUGCUGCCAUGCUUGACGUGUUCAAAGAGAG